Molecule: small nuclear RNA, 119 nt
Organism: Crocodylus porosus (Australian saltwater crocodile)
Lineage: Eukaryota; Metazoa; Chordata; Crocodylia; Crocodylidae
Gene: U2
Rfam family: U2 spliceosomal RNA
About the family: U2 is a small nuclear RNA (snRNA) component of the spliceosome (involved in pre-mRNA splicing). Complementary binding between U2 snRNA (in an area lying towards the 5' end but 3' to hairpin I) and the branchpoint sequence (BPS) of the intron results the bulging out of an unpaired adenosine, on the BPS, which initiates a nucleophilic attack at the intronic 5' splice site, thus starting the first of two transesterification reactions that mediate splicing.
Source: Ensembl
UGUCCUCCAUCGGAGGUCUAUAUUGAGCAGAUUCUUUUUGGUAUUGGGUGGUGGAACCGGAGCGUGCUCCAUCCACUCCAUGCAUUGACCUGGUAUUGCAGUGCUUCCAGGACCGGUGC